This 253-nucleotide ribosomal RNA is filed under the name uncultured bacterium. RNAcentral's name for it is "partial 16S ribosomal RNA". It matches the Rfam family "Bacterial small subunit ribosomal RNA", at positions 524 to 776 of the family's 1533-position model. The record is from RNAcentral.
UACAGAGGGGGCAAGCGUUGUUCGGAAUUACUGGGCGUAAAGGGCGCGUAGGCGGCCACCUAAGUCAGACGUGAAAUCCCUCGGCUCAACCGGGGAACUGCGUCUGAUACUGGGCGGCUUGAAUUCGGGAGAGGGAUGCGGAAUUCCAGGUGUAGCGGUGCAAUGCGUAGAUAUCUGGAGGAACACCGGUGGCGAAGGCGGCAUCCUGGACCGAGAUUGACGCUGAGGCGCGAAAGCCAGGGGAGCAAACGGG